CGUAUUUUUAAGUCGUUGCAGUUAAAGGCUCGUAGUUGGAUUUCGGUUGAGAACGGCCGGUCCGCCGUUUGGUGUGCACUGGCUGGUUUCAACUUCCUGUAGAGGACGCGCUCUGGCUUCAUCGCUGGACGCGGAGUCUACGUGGUUACUUUGAAAAAAUUAGAGUGUUCAAAGCGGGCUUACGCUUGAAUAUUUCAGCAUGGAAUAACACUAUAGGACUCCUGUCCUAUUUCGUUGGUCUCGGGACGGGAGUAAUGAUUAAGAGGAACAGUUGGGGGCAUUCGUAUUUCAUUGUCAGAGGUGAAAUUCUUGGAUUUAUGAAAGACGAACUUCUGCGAAAGCAUUUGCCAAGGAUGUUUUCAUUAAUCAAGAACGAAAGUUGGGGGCUCGAAGAUGAUUAGAUACCAUCCUAGUCUCAACCAUAAACGAUGCCGACUAGGGAUUGCAGGAUGUUAAUUGAUGACUCCUGCAGCACCUUAUGAGAAAUCAAAGUUUUUGGGUUCCGGGGGGAGUAUGGUCGCAAGGCUGAAACUUAAAGGAAUUGA
RNAcentral lists this ribosomal RNA (545 nucleotides) under uncultured Chlorophyta. RNAcentral's name for it is "SSU rRNA". It matches the Rfam family "Eukaryotic small subunit ribosomal RNA", at positions 598 to 1156 of the family's 1831-position model. Lineage: Eukaryota; Viridiplantae; Chlorophyta. The record is from RNAcentral.